AAGACAAUGUUGAAUCACACCU
This 22-nucleotide small nuclear RNA is filed under the name Arabidopsis thaliana (thale cress). Its description in RNAcentral is "snRNA_00178". The record is from RNAcentral. Lineage: Eukaryota; Viridiplantae; Streptophyta; Magnoliopsida; Brassicales; Brassicaceae.